This 500-nucleotide ribosomal RNA is filed under the name uncultured bacterium. RNAcentral describes it as "partial 16S ribosomal RNA". It matches the Rfam family "Bacterial small subunit ribosomal RNA", at positions 30 to 523 of the family's 1533-position model. The record is from RNAcentral.
AUUGAACGCUGGCGGAAUGCUUUACACAUGCAAGUCGAACGGCAGCACGGGGGCAACCCUGGUGGCGAGUGGCGAACGGGUGAGUAAUACAUCGGAACGUGCCCAGUCGUGGGGGAUAACGUAGCGAAAGUUACGCUAAUACCGCAUACGAUCUACGGAUGAAAGCGGGGGACCGUAAGGCCCCGCGCGAUUGGAGCGGCGGAUGUCAGAUUAGGUAGUUGGUGAGGUAAAGGCUCACCAAGCCGACGAUCUGUAGCUGGUCUGAGAGGACGACCAGCCACACUGGGACUGAGACACGGCCCAGACUCCUACGGGAGGCAGCAGUGGGGAAUUUUGGACAAUGGGCGCAAGCCUGAUCCAGCCAUUCCGCGUGCAGGACGAAGGCCUUCGGGUUGUAAACUGCUUUUGUACGGAACGAAAAGGCUCUGGUUAAUACCUGGGGCUCAUGACGGUACCGUAAGAAUAAGCACCGGCUAACUACGUGCCAGCAGCCGCCGUAA